AUUGAACGCUGGCGGCAGGCCUAACACAUGCAAGUCGAACGGUAACAGGAAGCAGCUUGCUGCUUUGCUGACGAGUGGCGGACGUGUGAGUAAUGUCUGUGAAACUGCCUGAUGGAGGGGGAUAACUACUGGAAACGGUAGCUAAUACCGCAUAACGUCGCAAGACCAAAGAGGGGGACCUUCGGGCCUCUUGCCAUCGGAUGUGCCCAGAUGGGAUUAGCGAGUAGGUGGGGUAACGGCUCACCUAGGCGACGAUCCCUAGCUGGUCUGAGAGGAUGACCAGCCACACUGGAACUGAGACACGGUCCAGACUCCUACGGGAGGCAGCAGUGGGGAAUAUUGCACGAUGGGCGCAAGCCUGAUGCAGCCAUGCCGCGUGUAUGAAGAAGGCCUUCGGGUUGUAAAGUACUUUCAGCGGGGAGGAAGGGAGUAAAGUUAAUACCUUUGCUCAUUGACGUUACCCGCAGAAGAAGCACCGGCUAACUCCGUG
Molecule: ribosomal RNA, 490 nt
Filed under: uncultured bacterium
Lineage: Bacteria
Description: partial 16S ribosomal RNA
Rfam family: Bacterial small subunit ribosomal RNA
Source: RNAcentral